GAUGAAGAACGUAGCGAAAUGCGAUAAGUAAUGUGAAUUGCAGAAUUCAGUGAAUCAUCGAAUCUUUGAACGCACAUUGCGCCCGUCAGUAUUCUGGCGGGCAUGCCUGUUCGAGCGUCAUUACGCCCCUCAAGUCCCCUGUGGACUUGGUGUUGGGGAUCGGCGAGGCUGGUUUUCCAGCACAGCCGUCCCUUAAAUUAAUUGGCGGUCUCGCCGUGGCCCUCCUCUGCGCAGUAGUAAAACACUCGCAACAGGAGCCCGGCGCGGUCCACUGCCGUAAAACCCCCCAACUUUUUAUAGUUGACCUCGAAUCAGGUAGGACUACCUGCUGAACUUAAGCAUAUCAAUAAGCGGAGGA
Molecule: unclassified non-coding RNA, 358 nt
Filed under: soil metagenome
Description: partial contains 5.8S ribosomal RNA, internal transcribed spacer 2, and large subunit ribosomal RNA
Rfam family: 5.8S ribosomal RNA (bases 1-120)
Source: RNAcentral